GCCUGACUGACUCAAUUGGUAGAGCAUGUGACUCUUGAUCUCAGGGUCUUGAGUUCAAGUCCCAAGCAGGGUG
Molecule: transfer RNA, 73 nt
Filed under: Mustela putorius furo (domestic ferret)
Lineage: Eukaryota; Metazoa; Chordata; Mammalia; Carnivora; Mustelidae
Rfam family: tRNA
About the family: Transfer RNA (tRNA) molecules are approximately 80 nucleotides in length.
Source: Rfam by way of RNAcentral